GACGGAGGGUGCUAGCGUUGUUCGGAAUGACUGGGCGUAAAGGGCGCGUAGGCGGCCGCUUGCGUCGGAUGUGAAAGCCCGGGGCUCAACCCCGGAACGGCAUCCGAUACGGGGCGGCUCGAGACCGAGAGAGGUGAGUGGAAUACCCAGUGUAGAGGUGAAAUGCGUAGAUAUUGGGAGGAACACCGGUGGCGAAGGCGGCCCCCUGGACCGGUACUGACGCUGAGGCGCGAAAGCGUGGGUAGCAAACGGG
RNAcentral lists this ribosomal RNA (253 nucleotides) under uncultured bacterium. Its description in RNAcentral is "partial 16S ribosomal RNA". It matches the Rfam family "Bacterial small subunit ribosomal RNA", at positions 524 to 776 of the family's 1533-position model. The record is from RNAcentral.